This 253-nucleotide ribosomal RNA is filed under the name uncultured bacterium. Its description in RNAcentral is "partial 16S ribosomal RNA". It matches the Rfam family "Bacterial small subunit ribosomal RNA", at positions 524 to 776 of the family's 1533-position model. The record is from RNAcentral.
UACGGAGGGUGCAAGCGUUGUCCGGAUUUAUUGGGUUUAAAGGGUGCGUAGGCGGAUCAGUAAGUCAGUGGUGAAAGCUUGCGGCUUAACCGUAGAACUGCCAUAGAUACUGCUGAUCUUGAGAACGGUCGAGGUGGUUGGAAUAUAUGGUGUAGCGGUGAAAUGCUUAGAUAUCAUAUAGAACACCUAUUGCGAAGGCAGAUCACUAGGCCGGGUCUGACGCUGAUGCACGAAAGUGUGGGGAGCGAACAGG